This 273-nucleotide transfer RNA is filed under the name Nostoc sp. BTA204. Its description in RNAcentral is "partial 16S-23S ribosomal RNA intergenic spacer". The stretch from base 111 to 183 matches the Rfam family "tRNA". The record is from RNAcentral. Lineage: Bacteria; Bacillati; Cyanobacteriota; Cyanophyceae; Nostocales; Nostocaceae.
CUGGUUCGAGUCCAGGAUGGCCCACCUGAAGUAAUGCAAAAUUAAAAAUUCAAAGUUCAAAAUUAAGCAAUUGUUUUUGAAUUUUGCAUUUGGAAUUUUGAAUUGUGUUGGGGGGUUUAGCUCAGUUGGUAGAGCGCCUGCUUUGCAAGCAGGAUGUCAGCGGUUCGAGUCCGCUAACCUCCACAUGAAAAAAAAGCCAAAAGUGAAUUCAGCAUCUAACGCAGAGAAGUUAGAAUGCUGGGUGAAAACCAGCCAGAACCUUGAAAACUGCAA